AGUGAGCGCUGGCGGCAGGCCUAACACAUGCAAGUCGAACGGCAGCACAAGAGAGCUUGCUCUCUGGGUGGCGAGUGGCGGACGGGUGAGGAAUGCAUCGGAAUCUGCCCAUUUGUGGGGGAUAACCUCGGGAAACCGGGACUAAUACCGCAUACGGCCUACUGGUGAAAGCAGGGGAUCUUCGGACCUUGCGCAGAUGGAUGAGCCGAUGCCGGAUUAGCUAGUUGGAGGGGUAAGGGCCCACCAAGGCGACGAUCCGUAGCUGGUCUGAGAGGAGGAUCGGCCACCCUGGGACUGAGACACGGCCCUGACUCCUACGGGAGGCAGCAGUGUGGAAUAUUGGACAAUGGGCGCAAGCCUGAUCCAGCCAUGCCGCGUGUGUGAAGAAGGCCUUCGGGUUGUAAAGCACUUUUGUUGGGAAAGAAAAGCAGCCGGUUAAUACCCGGUUGUCAUGACGGUACCCAAAGAAUAAGCACCGGCUAACUUCGUG
RNAcentral lists this ribosomal RNA (490 nucleotides) under uncultured bacterium. RNAcentral's name for it is "partial 16S ribosomal RNA". It matches the Rfam family "Bacterial small subunit ribosomal RNA", at positions 29 to 507 of the family's 1533-position model. The record is from RNAcentral.